AACGAACGCUGGCGGCAGGCUUAACACAUACAAGUCGAACGAGAUCUUCGGAUCUAGUGGCAGACGGGUGAGGAACACGUGGGAACAUCCCUUUCAGUUCGGAAUAACGUUGGGAAACUAACGCUAAUACCGGAUACGUCCUUCGGGAGAAAGAUUUAUCGCUGAAAGAUUGGCCCGCGUCUGAUUAGCUAGUUGGUGAGGUAAUGGCUCACCAAGGCUACGAUCAGUAGCUGAUCUGAGAGGAUGAUCAGCCACAUUGGGACUGAGACACUGCCCAAACUCCUACGGGAGGCAGCAGUGGGGAAUAUUGGACAAUGGGCGCAAGCCUGGUCCAGCCAUGCCGCGUGAGUGAUGAAGGCCUUCGAGUUGUAAAGAUCUUUUAUCCGGGAAGAUAAUGACUGUACCGGAAGAAUAAGCCCCGGCAAACUUCGUGCCAGCCGCCGCGGUAA
This 449-nucleotide ribosomal RNA is filed under the name uncultured bacterium. Its description in RNAcentral is "partial 16S ribosomal RNA". It matches the Rfam family "Bacterial small subunit ribosomal RNA", at positions 29 to 523 of the family's 1533-position model. The record is from RNAcentral.